AUGUGUGGAGGAAGCGAUGAAUCAUUAUUUCAUACGCUAGUGACAUGCGAGCAUGCGCUGCUGUUCUGGGAAGAGGCAGAGGAUUUUUUUGAGCUCAGAAUGCCCGCAUUACAUCCAGUGACAUGGGCUAGGGAUGUGCUCGAUCAUAACUUUAUUAGUAAGAAGGAUGCAGCAGUGGCCGUUUCGGUUAUGUGGGCGAUUUGGAACAACAGAAAUAGAUAUACUCAGAAUGAAGCAGUCUACCAGCCGUUGCGGUCAAUGCAGUUAGUACAGGAGCUGGUGAGAGCUCUGGAUAUCGCAGCUACGGAGGCGCAACAACCUAAGCCUCAACCAGUGUGGAAACCUCCCGAGGAAGGCUGGAUCAAAGUUAAUACCGACGGUGCAGUUGGGUCGGUCAGAAACUGUGCUGGGACGGGUGCAGUUUUGAGAGACCACCUGGGAGUGUUUGUUGCGGCAAUGAUGACAAAGUAUGAUGCUGUAUCAGAUCCAUCAUCGUUGAAGCAUUAG
RNAcentral lists this ribosomal RNA (507 nucleotides) under Triticum aestivum (bread wheat). RNAcentral's name for it is "partial small subunit ribosomal RNA". Lineage: Eukaryota; Viridiplantae; Streptophyta; Magnoliopsida; Poales; Poaceae. The record is from RNAcentral.